Molecule: ribosomal RNA, 211 nt
Filed under: uncultured bacterium
Lineage: Bacteria
Description: partial 16S ribosomal RNA
Rfam family: Bacterial small subunit ribosomal RNA
Source: RNAcentral
UACGGAGGGUGCGAGCGUUAAUCGGAAUAACUGGGCGUAAAGGGCACGCAGGCGGGUAUGUAAGUGAGAUGUGAAAUCCCCGGGCUUAACCUGGGAAUAGCAUUUCAGACUGGGUGUCUAGAGUGCUUUAGGGAGGGGUAGAAUUCCACGUGUAGCGGUGAAAUGCGUAGAGAUGGGGAGGAAUACCGAAGGCGAAGGCAGCCCCGUGGGA